Molecule: long non-coding RNA, 1337 nt
Organism: Planococcus citri (citrus mealybug)
Lineage: Eukaryota; Metazoa; Arthropoda; Insecta; Hemiptera; Pseudococcidae
Exons: 2
Source: RefSeq, a predicted model, not a curated record
UUAAAAAGCGAGGGAGAAAAAACUGAAAAAUAACAGAUUCAGUUUUCAUUUUACAACUUUUAUUUUAUUUUUUUUUUCUAAUUUUUAGUUUUACUUAGUUUUUUUCAUUUUUUUUUUUCAUUUUCUUCUUUUCGCUCAUUUUGGUUCAUGUUGUACAUAUAUUUAAGGGAGGUAUCUUGCUGGGUUUGAAAAAACCUUCAUUUUGAUAUGUAACAUGGUAUGAUUUGAUAGCGCUUUUUUUUGCUUUUUUCUUACAUUUUUAAUGCUUUUUUAUAGCGCUUAAAACGUGUUUGAUAGCGCUUAAAAAUCCUAGCUCUACUUAUCAGUAACUGGAAAAGAAUUGAAAUUUUGUAAGGAUGAUGCAUAGAAUCAUAAACAUUUUUAAAAUAGAAUUUAAAAAAUCGAAAAAAUAGCGUUUGCUUAAUGAAAUUUUUAUGGCCAUUUUUGAAUGUUUAAAUUUCACAGAAAAUUAAUUUUUUUCCCAAUUUUAUAAGGCGAAAAUCAUAAUACAGUAUCUACUUUGAAAUUUGAUCACUGAAUACGAGCACAUUGCAUAAGUUCAAGUUUGUAAGGUUAUAAAUUAGGAGGAAAUAGGUAAUAACUCGGUUAAGGUAUCAUGUUAAACAGCUAAUUUAAUGAUCACAAUCGGUGAGUCAUUUCUAUAGCGUAUCACCUGAGUGACCUGAGUACCUUUACUCUGCUCUUGUACCCGGAAAAGAUUAGAAUUAUUUCAAAAGCCCGAAGGUAAAUAUAUCGCAAGUGUAUACUUGGCCUAGGUGAGUACAAUAUAAAAUUAGAAAAUUUGAUGAUAGCUGAACAUUUACGGUUUUAUCUCCUUUUUGAAUUUUACGUCGUGAUUAAUCGAACAAUUGACCAGUAAAAAAUAAAUUGGCACGAGAAAAUUGGAUACCGAAUCUGAGAAGCUGAAUAUUUGAACUUGCUGCCAAAUCUUCGAAUUACUCGAACGUUUUAUUCCAUUUCUGAAUCCAGGAUUCUUAAACAUGAAUAUUUUUAACCUGUUAAUAUUCGCCACCGGAGUCGUUUUACUGCUUGCUUUUUCUCAGGCAACUCCUGACACAAAUCAGAAAAUGCCUUAUAAGGUGUUUACCAGAAAAAUCGAUUGUUUGAGAACUUGCGUUGAUUACUGCGAACUCCACGGAAUUCGUAAAUAUCAUUGCCCUCUCACUGAAUACAGAGGAUAUAUGUGUUCUUGCAGAGAUCCAAUGAUGUACGAAUGAUUUUACUGAAUGUACGCCCUUCUUAUCUCGUUCAAGUGUUCAAUUAGUUUUUUUGUAGCAGCAAUAUUUUGACAAAUAGAUUACAAUUUUUUCAUUCUA